Molecule: ribosomal RNA, 497 nt
Filed under: uncultured bacterium
Lineage: Bacteria
Description: partial 16S ribosomal RNA
Rfam family: Bacterial small subunit ribosomal RNA
Source: RNAcentral
GAUGAACGCUGGCGGCGUGCCUAAUACAUGCAAGUCGAGCGAACGGACGAGAAGCUUGCUUCUCUGAUGUUAGCGGCGGACGGGUGAGUAACACGUGGAUAACCUACCUAUAAGACUGGGAUAACUUCGGGAAACCGGAGCUAAUACCGGAUAAUAUUUUGAACCGCAUGGUUCAAAAGUGAAAGACGGUCUUGCUGUCACUUAUAGAUGGAUCCGCGCUGCAUUAGCUAGUUGGUAAGGUAACGGCUUACCAAGGCAACGAUGCAUAGCCGACCUGAGAGGGUGAUCGGCCACACUGGAACUGAGACACGGUCCAGACUCCUACGGGAGGCAGCAGUAGGGAAUCUUCCGCAAUGGGCGAAAGCCUGACGGAGCAACGCCGCGUGAGUGAUGAAGGUCUUCGGAUCGUAAAACUCUGUUUCUAGGGAAGAACAUAUGUGUAAGUAACUGUGCACAUCUUGACGGUACCUAAUCAGAAAGCCACGGCUAACUACGUG